RNAcentral lists this long non-coding RNA (702 nucleotides) under Elaeis guineensis (African oil palm). RNAcentral's name for it is "long non-coding RNA (EGUI_LNC033962)". The record is from RNAcentral. Lineage: Eukaryota; Viridiplantae; Streptophyta; Magnoliopsida; Arecales; Arecaceae.
ACUAGCUUUCCCUGCUAGCUACUAUCCUUGUCCUCUCCCUCCUCUUGCACCCCUUCUCCCUCCUUGUUCUCCUCUCCCUCCUCAUCAUCAACUCCUUUCUCUACCUCUUUUGCCUUAUCGAUCCCUAACUUGUCAUCCUCAACUGCACCUUCUCCAACCAUGAGACCCUUGGCGCUCUUAUCACCCUCUCCAUCUUUGCCAUCUUCCUCACCUCCAUUGGAUCUCUCCUCAUCUCUACUCUUAUGGUUGGUGCCACACCUUGGUGUUGGUCCUUCAAUAUCCUAUAUCACCUCCUCUAGGAUCAUAAGGUCUGAUCGCCUCUUGGGCCUUGAGGUCUAGCCACCUUGCUUUCAAAUCGAUGAGAUCUGACAGCAUCAUCUUAAGAGUUGCGAGAUUGGGCUGCCUUGCAUUUGAUCCCAUGAGAUCUAGCCAUUUUCUCUCCAUGUCAGCAAGAACCAUCAUCUCCACCUCCAUUGCAGUGAGAUUUCUUCAUGCCUUAUCCAUUCUCAUGAGAUUUGGUAGUACCCCACCCUCAAACACUCAUGCUUGCCUUCAUCGCCCCACCUCCAUGAUUGGAGAACUAUUUACAUGCUCGAUGACCUCUUCCUUAAUGAUCAAGACACCAAUAGUGGCAUCUAUGUCGACCAAAGAGAGAAAAGCAAGAACCCUAUUUUGGAAAUCAAUCUAGACUAGCUUCGGGAC